CCUACGGGUGGCAGCAAGUCGGAAUAUUUGUCAAUGGGCGAAAGCUUGAACAAGCAAUGCCGCGUGAGUGAUGAAGGCCUUCGGGUUGUAAAGCUCUGUGUUUUGGGAAGAAAAACUGGCACGUUAAUAACUUGCCAGGUUGACGGUACCAGAAUAGAAAGCCCCGGCUAACUACGUGCCAGCAGCCGCGGUGAUACGUAGGGGGCAAGCGUUGUUCGGAAUUACUGGGUGUAAAGGGCGUAUAGGCGGCUGAGUAAGUCGGAUGUGAAAUCCUUGGGCUUAACCUGAGAACUGCAUUUGAUACUGCUCGGCUUGAGGUCAGGAGAGGAAAGCGGAAUAUGUGGUGUAGCGGUGAAAUGCGCAGAUAUCACAUAGAACACCGGUGGCGAAGGCGGCUUUCUGGUCUGACUCUGACGCUGACGCGCGAAAGCUAGGGGAGCGAACGGGAUUAGAUACCCCGGUANUC
This 466-nucleotide ribosomal RNA is filed under the name uncultured bacterium. Its description in RNAcentral is "bacterial SSU rRNA". It matches the Rfam family "Bacterial small subunit ribosomal RNA", at positions 338 to 795 of the family's 1533-position model. The record is from RNAcentral.